UACAGAGGUCUCAAGCGUUGUUCGGAUUCAUUGGGCGUAAAGGGUGCGUAGGCGGCGGAGCAAGUCAGGUGUGAAAUCCCAGGGCUCAACCCUGGAACUGCACUUGAUACUGCUUCGCUAGAGUACUGGAGAGGAGACUGGAAUUUACGGUGUAGCAGUGAAAUGCGUAGAGAUCGUAAGGAAGACCAGUGGCGAAGGCGAGUCUCUGGACAGUUACUGACGCUGAGGCACGAAGGCCAGGGGAGCAAACGGG
This 253-nucleotide ribosomal RNA is filed under the name uncultured bacterium. RNAcentral's name for it is "partial 16S ribosomal RNA". It matches the Rfam family "Bacterial small subunit ribosomal RNA", at positions 524 to 776 of the family's 1533-position model. The record is from RNAcentral.